Molecule: long non-coding RNA, 571 nt
Filed under: Numida meleagris (helmeted guineafowl)
Lineage: Eukaryota; Metazoa; Chordata; Aves; Galliformes; Numididae
Description: lncRNA (ENSNMEG00000006011.1)
Source: RNAcentral
AUGGCACUGCAGAGAUCCUGUUCGUCAGCUUUAGCAGUUGGGAAGGGAUGGGAGGACAGCUUGUCGCAGAGCUUGGUGUCCUGCAGGAUGCCCGGCCUGCAUCUGCUGGGAUGCUCUCGCCUCAGCUUGAUGAGUACAGAAGAAACAAUGGGCCCACGGUGCUGGCCCCACGCAGCAUCAGGCUCCUUGGUGGCUGUUGCAGCCAAAUCCAUCCUAAACUGCAGCAACACUCAGGAUCUCUCGAGUGACUCCGCAGCCUUAAUGCCAGCUUGGAAACCUCCCUGCAGCCCAAGGGUUGGGAUGCAUGCCAGGCUGGGGUGUGCUGCAGGCACGCAGAACCCGUAUCCAGGCUGUCAGUGGCUUUGCCUUGUUCACUGAGGGGUCCUGCUGGAAGCGUAUUCUGCUGAGGUGCCCGUGCUGUUUUGCACCCCGAGCCCACGCUCUUUUCCCUGAUUGUCAACAAUGUGCAUCCUGGUGCUGAAAGAGCAAGAAAUGGGGUUUCCAGCUGGCGCUCCUCUGAGUGGUAUUUGCAUGGCAGAACGGCGUUGUGCAGUGAGAUGCUGCUGAAUGG